This is a long non-coding RNA of Carassius auratus (goldfish), 578 nucleotides long. RefSeq lists it as uncharacterized. The record is from RefSeq and is a predicted model, not a curated record. The transcript is spliced from 4 exons. NCBI's taxonomy places the organism in Eukaryota, Metazoa, Chordata, Actinopteri, Cypriniformes, Cyprinidae.
CUAGUUUAUUUUAUUUGUUUUAUACUAAAAAGUAUAAAUAUACUUCCUCUUUACUUAAAAUAUAUCACUUUUUACAUAACAAUAUAUUUUAAGUAAAACAAUAGCAAUUUAUUUGGGUAGCUUUUUGUAUGAGUUUGUUGUGUACAAGAAAUGUUAUAAAAGUGAGUUGAAAUGCACAAUUUAUUUGAGCAGCUGUCGAUGUGGCAUGUGUGUUCAUCAAACUUAAAUAUUUGAAAUAAAAAACACAUAAAAAUUAAGUUGGAUUUAUCCCUUCUUCACUGGCGGGGACUUUCCAAGGCAGAUGCUUCCUCGGCACUUCAACUGUUUGAAAGCUGCAGCGGAUCUAAAUUUCACAGACUGAUUAACACGUCUCCGGUGGGGCAUGCAGCUGUCGUGGGGUCCUCGUGUUAUCAGCAGCAGAGUUGUAACCAAGCGUUUUUGUUACCUGGGGUCUUCAGAUACAGGAUCCAUCUGGCUAUGUGGAGAAAAGGAGAGAAGUGGUACUGAGAUGCCUGAUUGAGUACAUAUGGGAGGGAAAGGAAGACCUCAUCAGUGUCCACCAUGUAUGUACUGGGCUU